AUUGAACGCUGGCGGCAUGCUUUACACAUGCAAGUCGAACGGCAGCACGGGAGCUUGCUCCUGGUGGCGAGUGGCGGACGGGUGAGUAAUGCAUCGGAACGUGUCCUAAAGUGGGGGAUAACGCAUCGAAAGAUGUGCUAAUACCGCAUAUUCUCUCAGGAGGAAAGCAGGGGAUCGCAAGACCUUGCGCUUUUGGAGCGGCCGAUGCCUGAUUAGCUAGUUGGUAGGGUAAAGGCCUACCAAGGCGUCGAUCAGUAGUUGGUCUGAGAGGACGACCAGCCACACUGGGACUGAGACACGGCCCAG
RNAcentral lists this ribosomal RNA (306 nucleotides) under uncultured bacterium. RNAcentral's name for it is "bacterial SSU rRNA". It matches the Rfam family "Bacterial small subunit ribosomal RNA", at positions 30 to 334 of the family's 1533-position model. The record is from RNAcentral.